CUCCGCGCAGCUUCUCUUCUCCAGGCUCAACAGCCCCAAUGUUCUCAGCCUGUCUCCAUACAGGAGGUGCCAGGCACAGGCCAGGCCAAGCACCGGCAUUAGGAUCCCGCCAGGAUCCAGCUGAUACGGUGCUGGAAGAGCAUCAGGACUCGGAGCUGUUGCUUGAAGAAGGGAGAGAAGAGACGAGGCCGAAGCAGUAGCACUUGCCCAGUAAACACCCAACCCUGCAGCGACCCCACGCACUAUUUCCUAUUUAUUUCCAGUUCCAGAGCACCAAAACCAAUAUAGUGGAGCCUCAGCGCUCCCCCGCUCUUUGAGCUUUAAGAGCGGCCAAAUCUGGGAUGAAGGCACUCCAGAACACCCUGAAAGUUACUUUUGUUGCCAGCUUCUCCCUAAUGAGACCUAUGUCCUUGGUCUGAGGACGUUUGACCCUCGGGGACAGCUUCCCCCUACCCUGCUCCUGCCCCUCGCUGGCCGCGGCUGCCCUGCUCCUUGUAAAGAUAAGCGGAGAAUAAACACGCUACUGCCGA
This is a long non-coding RNA of Strigops habroptila (Kakapo), 530 nucleotides long. RefSeq lists it as uncharacterized. Lineage: Eukaryota; Metazoa; Chordata; Aves; Psittaciformes; Psittacidae. The transcript has 2 exons. The record is from RefSeq and is a predicted model, not a curated record.